RNAcentral lists this ribosomal RNA (279 nucleotides) under uncultured Thermovirga sp. RNAcentral's name for it is "partial 16S ribosomal RNA". It matches the Rfam family "Bacterial small subunit ribosomal RNA", at positions 1106 to 1382 of the family's 1533-position model. The record is from RNAcentral. Lineage: Bacteria; Thermotogati; Synergistota; Synergistia; Synergistales; Thermovirgaceae.
UGCAUUCAGUUGCCAUCGGUAAGGCCGGGCACUCUGGAUGGACUGCCGGCGACAAGCCGGAGGAAGGUGGGGACGACGUCAAGUCAUCAUGGCCCUUAUGUCCAGGGCGACACACGUGCUACAAUGGCCGGCACAACGGGAAGCGAAGGGGCGACCCUGAGCGGAUCCCCAUAAAAGCCGGUCCCAGUUCGGAUUGCAGUCUGCAACUCGACUGCAUGAAGUUGGAAUCGCUAGUAAUCGUGGAUCAGCCAAGCCGCGGUGAAUACGUUCCCGGGCCUU